AUUUAAGCCUGAUGACAAGUGUCUGGCAGUGUGUUGGAAACAUAACUUCCACGGUCCUUUCUGAGUGGUUGUAUCAACAAAGCUGUUCAAUCUUUGCACCCAGAGGUUGCAGUAAGUCUGGAUGCCACAUCAAACUGUUUGUGGUACUUCUAAACUUCGUGGAAGAGCCCUGUUUCAUAAAUCUGAGACAGCCUUGGUCUGAGGGAGCAAAGACAGAGAAUUCACGUGCUGCCCAGGCAUAGCCACAUAGCAGGUGGACAUCCCUGGACACUUUUCUGACCCUCAUUGGAUUUUCCUGGAAGUACGGAGAGUUACAUCCAGAGAACUCUGAACAUUUUGGAAGGACCCCAAUCCUGCAAACAAUGAAUGGCAAUAAAUCCUGGGACUGGAAAGGUCUUCCAAGAAACAAAAGGAAAUUUACCUAUUUCUUAAACAGAACAAAACCCAUUAUAUCUUGUAAUUACCAUGUGACAGCAUUGGACAAUUUUAAACAUGUAAGGCACUUUAUGGAAACUUCAUGAUCUUUUUUUUCUUAUAUUAAGCAUUUUCUAUUUCAUCAACAUAGGAACUGUUUCAUCAUUACUCAUCAAUCGUUCCUAACAAUGCUUAAAACUAAAACAAUGAAGAAGCAGAAUAAUGAAAUUGCCUAGAAAGAUGAUGCAACUGUAAAAUAUAUCAUUAUUGCCCCAUCAUCACUAUGAUUGUUUAUAGUGUUGACUGAAGUAUUACAUCAUCAUUCAAGAAGAUAUAAAAGAAGCCUGGAGACAUCUUUUUUUUUUUGAGACACCAUUUUUACAGCCUACUUUGUUUCACUGAACACAGUUUAUAAUUCAGAAUUAUUUUUUCCAUCCAUAACUUCAAAUAGAAGAAAAGUGACAGAGGAAGAUAUUUCAAAAUUAUUAAAUGAAUCAGAAGAUGAAUGCAGAAAGACAGAGAGCAGUAAGCUAGACUCUAAUGAUUAGGGUAAAAUUGAAAUUGAUUAUACAAGUGAAAUCUCAGACUAUGAGUCUUCAUAAGACAAUGAAUUUUCUUAAACUAUAGAAUCAAUGAGUGAACAAUGCAUUUCAAAGAGAAAAAAGGAAAUAUACUAUAGUAGUUCCCUCUUAUCCAUAAAAAAUGUAUUCCAAGAUAUCCAGUAGAUACCUGAAACAAUGAAUAAUGCUGAAUUCUAUGUAUGCUGUGUUUUCUUGAUCUGAAAACCGAGAUACCUAAUAAGUGUCUCACAGACAGGUAGCUUAGAGAGCGUGGAUACAUCGGACAAAGGGAUGAUUCACAUACUUGGUGGAAUAGAGCGUGAUAACAUGACAUGCUACUCAGAAUGGUGUCCAAUUUAAAACUUGUGAGUUGUUUAUUUCAGGAAUUUUCCAUUUGAUAUUUUCAGACUGUGGUUGACUGUGGGUUACUGAAACUGCAAAUAGCAAAAUCAUGGAUAAGAGGACACGACUGUAUUCUCAUCUAGUUAGCCCUUUAACAGGAAGGAAUUUAUCCUGUUAUAUUUUGUGACAAGAACCUGAACCAUUUCAUUUUGCUAAAAGAGCAUGUCACAGUACUCUUUCUUUAUAAAAUUCAUGUGCCAAAAUCUGUGGUUUCUAACUGCACAAAUGCUAAAGAAAGAGAAAGGCAGGCAUCCAAAAGAAAUGGACAAUGUGAAUUUAAAAAUAAUUGAAUGCAUUAUUGUAAUCUAUGUUUGUAAAUACAAAAAUGAAAACCUGCCCAGGCACAGUGGCUCACGCCUGUAAUCCCAGCACUUUGAGAGGCCGAGGUGGGCGGAUCACGAGGUCAAGAGAUCAAGGCCAUCCUGGCCAACAUGGUGAAAUCCCGUCUCUACUAAAAAUAGAAAAAAAAUUAGAUGGGCACGGUGGCGUGCACCUGUAGUCCCAGCUACUCGCAAGGCUGAGGCAGGAGAAUUGCUUGAACCCGGGAGGCAGAGGUUGCAGUGAGCCGAGAUGGCACCACUGCACUCCAGCCUGGCGACAGAGUGAGACUACAUCUCAAAAAAAAAAAAUAAAGAAGGAACGAAAGAAGGAAGGAAGGAAGGAAGGAAGGAAGGAAAUGUUUUAUUAUGAAAUGAAGAUGACAUUUUCUUUUCAACAAAAUUAUGGACCAUCAAGGUUUAUAAAAAUUAAAGUACUACAUUUUGAUGAUGCACAUUCUAGAAAAACCAGAAGUGAUAAUAUAUAAUAGAACUUAUUAAAGAUAUAUUCAAAAUUUGAAAUUGGUAUCUGCAAGAUGAAUACACUGAAGGCUCAUAGAUGAUAACUGAUGAGCUGUUUGUUUCUUUCUGAAGAUAUUUCCCAUUUGAAGUAUAUACAUCUUUGAAAACAGGGAAUAUAAGAUAGAAACAUUUUGUUUUACUAUAUUUAAAUUCUUAUCAAAACUUUCACUUUCCCUUUAUUUCUACUCCUGUAAACUAUUAGAAAAACUAAAUAAUUUUUUUUAAUAAUUAAAACUCCAAGAGGUUGAUAGAGAAAAUUACUCAUUCCUGGUAUACUGAGAUUAGAAUGUAUAUUUUCUAUGUCUUCAUUGUAUACUUAUCAAGUUAUCCUUUUUAAUACAAUUAUUUAUGUCUUAGCUUACCUCUUUUCUGGACCACCAGCUUGCUGAGAGGAUUCAACAACUACUUACUGAAUAAACAUUAAAAUUCCCGAAACUUUUGUUGUGUGAAAAUAAUUAAAUGAUUGGAAUUAGAGUGAAUAUGUUUUUAUGGAACUAUGCCUACCUUGGAGCAGGAUUUUUUUCAGAAGUCUAAAGCAAAGCUAAAUGGUACCUAGUCUUGUCUAAUACAAGCAGUGAGCUCUGAAAUACAUUAAACCAUUAAAUAACAGUGACUAUAAUGCAAUUACAUUUGACCUCUUCUCAGCGAGAUUUAACCAAAAAUAUAGUUAAGCACCACUAAAGUUCAAGAAAAGGAUCUUAAUAAAAUGAGAGUACUAACUUAUUCCUUGAGGCUCUUUCUA
RNAcentral lists this long non-coding RNA (2957 nucleotides) under Homo sapiens (human). RNAcentral's name for it is "HSALNT0112663". The record is from RNAcentral. Lineage: Eukaryota; Metazoa; Chordata; Mammalia; Primates; Hominidae.